This 513-nucleotide ribosomal RNA is filed under the name uncultured bacterium. Its description in RNAcentral is "partial 16S ribosomal RNA". It matches the Rfam family "Bacterial small subunit ribosomal RNA", at positions 28 to 523 of the family's 1533-position model. The record is from RNAcentral.
GAUGAACGCUGGCGGCGUGCCUAAUACAUGCAAGUCGAGCGGACCAAAGAGAGCUUGCUCUCUGAGGUUAGCGGCGGACGGGUGAGUAACACGUGGGUAACCUGCCUGUAAGACGGGGAUAACUUCGGGAAACCGAAGCUAAUACCGGAUGAUAAAGAGAAACGCCUGUUUCUCUUUUGAAAGUCGGCCUUGUGCUGACGCUUACAGAUGGGCCCGCGGCGCAUUAGCUAGUUGGUGAGGUAACGGCUCACCAAGGCGACGAUGCGUAGCCGACCUGAGAGGGUGAUCGGCCACACUGGGACUGAGACACGGCCCAGACUCCUACGGGAGGCAGCAGUAGGGAAUCUUCGGCAAUGGACGAAAGUCUGACCGAGCAACGCCGCGUGAGCGAUGAAGGCCUUCGGGUCGUAAAGCUCUGUUGUCAGAGAAGAACAAGUACCGGAGUAACUGCCGGUACCUUGACGGUACCUGACCAGAAAGCCACGGCUAACUACGUGCCAGCCGCCGCCGUAA